Molecule: ribosomal RNA, 2223 nt
Filed under: human gut metagenome
Description: bacterial LSU rRNA
Rfam family: Bacterial large subunit ribosomal RNA
Source: RNAcentral
AUCUAAGUAGCCGGAGGAAGAGAAAUCAAACGAGAUGCCCACAGUAGCGGCGAGCGAAGAGGGCAGAGCCUAAACCAGUCAUCUUCGGAUGGUUGGGGUUACGGACCUGCAUCAACCGAGUCCUACCUAGUCGAAUUACCUGGAAAGGUAAGCCAGAGAGCGUAAGAGCCGCGUAGGUGAAAGGAGGGACGAGGGGGCAGGAAUCCAGAGUACCACGAAGCACGAGGAAUUUUGUGGGAAGUCGGGGGGACCACCCUCCAAGGCUAAACACUUCUUAGUGACCGAUAGCGCAUAGUACCGUGAGGGAAAGGUGAAAAGAACCGCGGGAGCGGAGUGAAAGAGAACCUGAAACCGUAUGUCUACAAGCAGUCGGAGCGCAAGCGACGGCGUGCCUAUUGAAGAAUGAGCCAACGAGUUACGGGCACCAGCGAGGUUAAGCAGGAAAUGCGGAGCCGGAGCGAAAGCGAGUCUAAACAGGGCGAAUAGUUGGUGUUCGUAGACCCGAAACUGUAGUGAUCUACCCAUGAUCAGGUUGAAGCGCAGGUAAAAAUGCGUGGAGGACCGAACCGGUGAGCGUUGAAAAGCUUUCGGAUGAAUCGUGGGUAGCGGUGAAAUUCCAAUCGAACGCAGAGAUAGCUGGUUCUCCUCGAAAUAGCUUUAGGGCUAGCCUCAAGCAGUAAGCAUAGGCGGUAGAGCACUGAUCGGGAUAGGGUCCGUAAAGGAUACCGAACCCUGUCAAACUACGAAUGGUUAUGCUGCAGAGCUUGGGAGUCAGACUACGAGAGAUAAGUCCCGUUGUCAAAAGGGAAACAGCCCAGACCGUCAGCUAAGGUCCCCAAUGCCAUACUAAGUGGAAAAGGAUGUGGGGUCUCAUAAACAACCAGGAUGUUGGCUCAGAAGCAGCCACCAUUUAAAGAGUGCGUAAUAGCUCACUGGUCGAGAGGCCCUGCGCCGAAGAUUCCCGGGGCUAAAGUAUGGAACCGAAGCUACGGAUGCGGUACUUGUACCGCGUGGUAGAGGAGCGUUCCCAUUGGGUUGAAGUCGUCCUGGAAGGGACGGUGGACUGGUGGGAAGUGAGAAUGUUGGCAUGAGUAGCGAAAAGAUAGGUGAGAAUCCUAUCCACCGAAAGCAUAAGGAUUCCUGAGCAACGAUCGUCGUCUCAGGGUAAGUCGGGACCUAAUCCGAGGCAUGGAGCGUAGGAGAUGGACAACUGGUUGAUAUUCCAGUACCGGCAGCAAUCGUUUGAACGAUGGAGUGACGCAGGAAGGCAGGUCCGCGCGAGAAUGGUAGAUCGCGUACAAGCGUGCAGGCUGGUGCACAGGCAAAUCCGUGUACUGAGGCUGAGGCGUGAUGUGGAGGGAACUUGUUCCCGAAGGGAUUGAGCCUACGCUGCCGAGAAAAGCUUCUAGUGAGAAAGCUGCCGCCCGUACCGUAAACCGACACAGGUAUGCGGGGAGAGAAUCCUAAGGUGCGCGGGAGAACCCUCGUUAAGGAACUCGGCAAAAUGUACCCGUAACUUCGGGAUAAGGGUAGCCACAGUGGUGAAGGGACUUGCUCCUGGAGCCUAGUGUGGUCGCAGAGAAGAGGCCCAAGCGACUGUUAACCAGAAACACAGGUGCCUGCGAAAGAGAAAUCUGAUGUAUAGGUGCUGACACCUGCCCAGUGCUGGAAGGUUAAAGAAGGAUGUCCGGGUUCGACCCAAAGCAUUUGACUGAAGCCCCAGUGAACGGCGGCCGUAACUAUAACGGUCCUAAGGUAGCGAAAUUCCUUGUCGGGUAAGUUCCGACCCGCACGAAAGGUGUAACGAUUUGGGCACUGUCUCAACGAGGGACCCGGUGAAAUUGAAAUACCUGUGAAGAUGCAGGUUACCCGCGACUGGACAGAAAGACCCCAUGGAGCUUUACUGUAACCUAAUAUUGGGUUCUGAUAUUCGACGCACAGGAUAGGUGGGAGGCUUGGAGCAUGGUCCUCUGGGAUCAUGGGAGCCGCCGUUGGGAUACCACCCUUCGAAUAUCGGGAUUCUAACCGCAGGAGCAACGAUCCUCGGGACAGUGUUAGGCGGGCAGUUUGACUGGGGCGGUCGCCUCCUAAAGAGUAACGGAGGCGCCCAAAGGUUCCCUCAGCGCGGACGGAAACCGCGCGACGAGUGUAAAGGCAGAAGGGAGCUUGACUGCGAGCCAAACACGGCGAGCAGGUACGAAAGUAGGGCUUAGUGAUCCGGUG